AGUUUCUCUAAUAAAAUAGAGUUUAUUAAGUAACUAAGUCUUACAGAAUCUGUUCUCCUGCAGUAUGGUCUAUGCAUGCACAACAUUAAAGGGAAAAUAUCUGAUGAUCUUCUAACUGAAGAAAAUCAAAGCUAAAUUUCCAAAUCCUAAGAAGACAACUAAGAAUGGAGAGGAGAAACCUCAGGUUAAGGGUUCCACUAGCCCCUAUGUUUAUCCAUCCUAAAUGUUCACUUGAGGACAGAGGAAGUAAUCAUGGGAUAAGUCUUCUGCAGCAUUUGACCCACUGUCAGAUGGACCAAGAACAGAAUUUUUGCUGGCUUCCAUAAGCCUUCACUCUAAGAAAAGACGAUGAUGGGAUUUUGAGUCUCCUAUAACAAGGACCUGCCCAACCAGCUAAGCCACUCACCAAUGCCCAGAAGUCCAUGUGUGUCCUUACUUGAGACCACGUAAGAGAUUCACGGCCAAGUGAGCAGCUCAAAGCCCUUAGGAAAUGAAAACACGUGGAUGACUGCCCUGUGAUAUUUUGAUGAUCCUUAUAGUCAGAAGGAUGAAGCAAAUGAUGUCUCCAGAUAAAAUCAAUUUACCCCUAAGAUAUUCAGAAAAAAAUAGGAUUCCAAAGUCAAGAAAUCCAGAGCUACGAAUGGAAAUACUACACAUUUUUCUUUUUAAUUGGUGGUGGUGAGAUGGAGAGACCUCGUGUUAUGUAUGUGAAAUUAAUGAGUGGAAAGUAUGGUGAAGAGAGGGCACACAAAUGGACCAAGCAGUGCUGGAAAACUCAAACUUGGUGUCAGAAACAUACACUGAAAAUU
This 809-nucleotide long non-coding RNA is filed under the name Equus caballus (horse). Its description in RNAcentral is "lncRNA (ENSECAG00000052461.1)". The record is from RNAcentral. Lineage: Eukaryota; Metazoa; Chordata; Mammalia; Perissodactyla; Equidae.